UACGGGGGGAGCAAGCGUUGUUCGGAUUUACUGGGCGUAAAGGGCGCGUAGGCGGUCAGCACAAGUCAGUUGUGAAAUCUCCGAGCUUAACUCGGAAAGGUCAACUGAUACUGUGCGGCUAGAGUGCGGAAGGGGCAACUGGAAUUCUCGGUGUAGCGGUGAAAUGCGUAGAUAUCGAGAGGAACACCUGCGGCGAAGGCGGGUUGCUGGGCUGACACUGACGCUGAUGCGCGAAAGCCAGGGGAGCGAACGGG
RNAcentral lists this ribosomal RNA (254 nucleotides) under uncultured bacterium. Its description in RNAcentral is "partial 16S ribosomal RNA". It matches the Rfam family "Bacterial small subunit ribosomal RNA", at positions 524 to 776 of the family's 1533-position model. The record is from RNAcentral.